GGGUUUGUCCUGGGCCAGCUGCUCCCUGGGGAAUCAAACGGGCUGUGGGCGGGCGGCGUCGGAGGGCAGGUUCAGCCCCCGCGAUGCAAUGCAGAUGCCCCGGGGCUGGGGCUGUGGAGGCACUUGUCUGGCUGUGAGCUGCGGCAAUGGGAGGGGGCGAUGCUCUAGGGGUGGGGGAGGCAAUCGGUGCCCCUGCAGACCCCUUCUGCCUCAUCUCUGCCCCCCCCCCGGGGGGCCGGAAGGGGGUGGGACUCACUGCUGGGCCCCUGCAGCAUUUGCACUUGCCUGGAAAGCCCCGUGUCCUGGAGUCAGGGGACGACACAGCAGCUUUGGGCUCCAGCCUCUGCGGCUGCAGAGCGCAUCUCGAGGUCCUGCUGCAGGGGCAGGGCCCCGGAGGCAAAUCAAGGGCAGCCCAGACUGCUCCCUCGUGGGGUUUUAAGCCGACUUUGUGCUCUUUUCCGGCGGGGGUCCUGAUCUGCGAAUGCCGGGGAGGGGGUGGGAAGGGUGACAGGGCGGCCUCACCCCCCCCAGCUCCAUGCCCAACCCAGAGGUCCCUGGGGAUGGCUUUUCCCCUCCCAGACAACGUGCAAUAUCCCCGGGGAGCCCGAUCCUGAACCAGGUGCGUCCCAUCUCUCAGCAGCCUCUGAAUCAGGCCCCUCAAAGCGCCUCGGGCCCGGGACCCCUGUCCUCAGGGUGCUGCGGCAAAGAGAUUGCAGCCCUCCGGCAGGCACCUGCAUCCCCUCUCUGCUCCGCGGGCCCCUUCCUUUGUCUGCUGCUAGGAAAGCUCACGUCUCGGCCCCACUCCUCUGAGCCCAGGGGCUGCAUUGCACCCCGCUGCAGGAUUCCCACGCCCCGCUCAGCAUGGCACAAAGCACCAGGGCCGACGAACCUGGGGUGGAUCCGGUCCCAGCCCCGCCAGCUUGAGGCCGGGAAGUGAGGCCCGGGACCCAGCCUGACCUCACCUGGGAGUGCUGCGGGGAGAGAGGGGGCGGCCGAGUGUAAGGGAGCAUUAAUGGAGCUGGAUUUGCCUCCCGGCUGAUAACCUACUCUGGGCGCAGAGCCUGGCGCGCGGCAGCCAGAGCUUCGCAUGCAGCUGGAGCUGCCUGCAGGUUAAUUUAGCGCAGGCUGGAGUAGCGGGGGGUGUUUGAACCAGCCUCUCUGCAGAAACCAAGGGGCUGAGCAACACCCCAGCUUCGCAGGCACCAGACCCUGGGGGAUGGACCCCCACAGAAACCCUCCCAGCCUCUUUUUUUCUUUUCCCCCCUCCUUGUUCACAUCGCGCGGCGGGAAUUGGGGCUGACAGCAGGCAGCUGGCGCGCAGCGGCCCUCCUCUCCUCCCCGGUCCUGCUAGGAACCGGGUGCGUUUUCACUGCCGACUCAUUUGAAUAAUCAAAUCAGACAAUGGGCUGACACCGAGCCGGUGGGGGAUGGUGGGGAGCGCAUCUCUCCAGCCUGGCCCUGCCUCGCCGGGAGAUCUUCGCUGCCCGUCGGUGGCGGCUGCCGCAGUGUCCCGAGAGCCCCUUUCCCUUUGGGGGCAAGCAGACGCCGGCCCCUGGGGAAGGCCGGGGGGCUUCUGAGGGUUCCCCGUUGCCUUGUGCAUCUUAGGGGGGGCAAAUUGAUGCCUUUCACCGUCUCCCCCUGGACAUGGCUUUGCAACCAGGAGGCAGCCAGACCCAGGAGGGAUAUAUAGGGCCCAUCAUCUGGAGUGGGGCGGGGGGUGGAACAACCAAGCCCCUUUUUGCUCCAUUGCUCCCUGCGAUGCUCACACUGCGUCAGGUCCUCUGCGUGUCUGGGGAGAGGGCUACACCAGCCCCCCCCCAACCCCCCCAUCCACACACAACACACAUGCACAUACACACACGCCGAUCACCGGUCCCUUUUUGUGCGCUAACCUUUGCCGGCGGCGUGUGCUGCUACUUCUCUGCACUGUGUGGCAGAUGGUCGCUGCAGAGAUUUCAGUGCAAGCUAUUUAUAUUUGGAGCUGAUCUUUCCCACUGUAUUUUACUUCUGGGUGUAAAUAAGUGGUGGGGGGGGAGGGUUGAGGGGGCUCGCGCAAGGCACGGGUUUUCAUCUUUCAAUAUUUGCAUGGCAUGUUGUAGGUGGGGGAGGGGGGAGCAUAAUAUCCAUAGGUUCGUUACCGGGUCGUUUGGUUUUAUCUUUUGUUUUCCAAGCUUGUGAGUUUAAAACACGCACCCCGACACAGAAAGCAGGAACGCGAUGAGGAGAGGCUGGGAACGCCAGAGAAGCCCCAGCCGGAGACUGCUAGCAGGUGGAUCAGGGGAGCCUUUAUAGCUGCUCUCCAUCUCACAAAGCAGCCUUGGCAAGAGCGUCGCCCAGCUGUUUGGUGUCUAAGCGCUGUCCUAUUCCACCCAGCUCGAGGUGCUGAGCACCGGUCCCCAAAGCAGGUGCCGUGUGG
This is a long non-coding RNA of Gavialis gangeticus (Gharial), 2416 nucleotides long. RefSeq lists it as uncharacterized. The record is from RefSeq and is a predicted model, not a curated record. The transcript has 3 exons. NCBI's taxonomy places the organism in Eukaryota, Metazoa, Chordata, Crocodylia, Gavialidae.